AGGACGAACGCUGGCGGCGUGCUUAACACAUGCAAGUCGAGCGGAAAGGCCCUUCGGGGUACUCGAGCGGCGAACGGGUGAGUAACACGUGAGUAAUCUGCCCCUAGCUCUGGGAUAGCUCCGGGAAAACCGGGAUUAAUACCAGAUACGACCACUUUAGACAUCUUCUGUGGUGGAAAGAACUUCGGCUAGGGAUGAACUCGCGGCCUAUCAGCUUGUUGGUGAGGUAACGGCUCACCAAGGCGACGACGGGUAGCCGGCCUGAGAGAGCGACCGGCCACACUGGGACUGAGACACGGCCCAGACUCCUACGGGAGGCAGCAGUGGGGAAUAUUGCGCAAUGGGCGAAAGCCUGACGCAGCGACGCCGCGUGGGGGAUGAAGGCCUUCGGGUUGUAAACCCCUUUCAGCAGGACGAAGCGAAAGUGACGGUACCUGCAGAAGAAGCGCCGGCUAACUACGUGCCAGCAGCCGC
Molecule: ribosomal RNA, 474 nt
Filed under: uncultured bacterium
Lineage: Bacteria
Description: SSU rRNA
Rfam family: Bacterial small subunit ribosomal RNA
Source: RNAcentral